ACGCUAUCACUCCUACGGUAGGCAGCAGUGAGGAAUAUUGGUCAAUGGACGGGAACUCUGAACCAGGCCAUCCCGCGUGUAGGAAGACGGCCUUAUGGGUUGUAAACUACUUUUAUACAGGAAGAAACGUACCCUCGUGAGGUGCUGACGGUACUGUAGGAAUAAGCACCGGCUAACUCCGUGCCAGCAGCCGCGGUAAUACGGAGGGUGCGAGCGUUAUCCGGAUUUAUUGGGUUUAAAGGGUCCGUAGGCGGGUUAAUAAGUCAGUGGUGAAAUCCCAUCGCUUAACGAUGGAACUGCCAUUGAUACUGUUAGUCUUGAAUGAGGGUGCAGUGGUUGGAAUGUGUAGUGUAGCGGUGAAAUGCAUAGAUAUUACACAGAACACCGAUUGCGAAGGCAGAUCACUAACCCUAAAUUGACGCUGAGGGACGAAAGCGUGGGGAGCGAACAGGAUUAGAUACCCUGGUAG
RNAcentral lists this ribosomal RNA (469 nucleotides) under uncultured bacterium. Its description in RNAcentral is "bacterial SSU rRNA". It matches the Rfam family "Bacterial small subunit ribosomal RNA", at positions 326 to 793 of the family's 1533-position model. The record is from RNAcentral.